RNAcentral lists this ribosomal RNA (372 nucleotides) under uncultured alga. RNAcentral describes it as "bacterial LSU rRNA". It matches the Rfam family "Bacterial large subunit ribosomal RNA", at positions 2098 to 2465 of the family's 2925-position model. The record is from RNAcentral.
GCUUGACUGUAUCUUGGAAUUGGGUUCGGGCUUUUCUUGCGCAGACUAGGUGGGAGGCUAUGAAGAUUUUUCUUCUGGGAAAGUUGGAGCCAACAGUGAGAGACCACUCUGGAAAGGCUAGAAUCCUAAUGGUGAUCCUUGAAUCAGGAUCACUUGACAGUUUCAGGUGGGGCAGUUUUCUGGGGCGGAAGCCUCAUAAAAGGUAACUGAGGCGCGCAAAGGUCCCCUCAGUCUGGACGGAAAAUCAGACAUUGAGUGUAAAGGCAAAAGGGGGCUUGACUGCAAGACCCACAAGUCGAGCAAGGGCGAAAGCUGGCCUUAGUGAUCCGACGGUGCCGUGUGGAAGGGCCGUCGCUCAACGAAUAAAAGUUA